This 292-nucleotide ribosomal RNA is filed under the name uncultured Planctomycetota bacterium. Its description in RNAcentral is "uncultured planctomycete partial 16S ribosomal RNA". Lineage: Bacteria; Pseudomonadati; Planctomycetota. The record is from RNAcentral.
GGACUACAGGGGUAUCUAAUCCCGUUUGCUCCCCUGGCUUUCGCGCCUCAGCGUCAGAAGAGGUCCAGUCGGGCGCUUUCGCCACCGGCGUUCCUAGUGAUAUCUACGCAUUUCACCGCUCCACCACCAGUUCCCCCGACCCCUACCUCCCUCAAGACUCCCAGUAUCGGCGGCACUUUUCCAGUUGAGCUGAAAGAUUUCACCACCGACUUGGGAACCCGCCUACGCGCCCUUUAAGCCCAGUGAUUCCGAACAACGUUUGCACGGUUCGUCUUACCGCGGCUGCUGGCAC